AUUAAAUUUGAUUCUGGUUUGGGAGAUAGGUUGAUGAUGGAAUUUAAUAUGUAAGUUUUAGCGGGAUUAAAGUGUUAUUUAAAUAGUAAUACAAAUAAUUAUUCUCAGUUUUUAAUAUUAAUAAUUUAGGUUUUUAAGAAUUAGUUAAUCAUCUUUAUAACUAGCAAAAAUUGUGCCAGCAGCUGCGGUUACACAAUUAGUUAUAAUUAUUUUUUUUAGGAUGUUAUUAAUUUUGUAUAAUGUAAUUGACUAUAAUUUAUAAGUUUUUAGGUGAAAUUUGAAUUUAUGAUUAUUUAGUUAGGUGAUAUAAGAUUAUAAGAAAUAUUUAUUUUAGACUAGGAUUAGAUACCCUAUUAUUUUUUAUGUAAAAGUUUUUCUCAUUACUAAGAGUUAUGAUCUUUAAAUUGAAAGAAUUUGACGGUAAUUUAAUCAUUUUAGAGGAACCUGUUCUGUAAUUGAUAAUCCACGAUAAAUUUUACCUUGAUUAAUUAGUUUGUAUAUCUCUGUCUGUAUAAGAAUGUUUUAUUAGGAUAUUUUCUUUUAUUUUUAAAAAAUUAUAUGUCAGGUCAAGGUGCAGCUAUAUUAAGGAUUGAAAUGGGUUACAUUUAAUUUUAAUUAUUGGAUUAAUUUAUGUAAUAAAUUAUGAAACUGGAUUUAAUUGUAAUGUAUAUUAUAUAUUAUUCAUGAUAUAUGUUCUUGAUUAAGUACACAUCGCCCGUCGCUCUCAUUAUAAGAUGAGAUAAGUCGUAACAAAGUAGUCCUAUCGGAAGAUGGGGCUGGAAUUAU
RNAcentral lists this non-coding RNA (786 nucleotides) under Euschistus heros (neotropical brown stinkbug). The record is from RNAcentral. Lineage: Eukaryota; Metazoa; Arthropoda; Insecta; Hemiptera; Pentatomidae.